This 124-nucleotide small nuclear RNA is filed under the name Chinchilla lanigera (long-tailed chinchilla). Its description in RNAcentral is "U4 spliceosomal RNA (ENSCLAG00000021000.1)". Lineage: Eukaryota; Metazoa; Chordata; Mammalia; Rodentia; Chinchillidae. The record is from RNAcentral.
AGCUUUGCACACUGGCGGUAUCAUAUGCGAUGAGGUUUAUCUGAGGCUCGGUUAUUGCUCAUUGAAAACUCUUUCCCAGUACCCCUCCUUGACGGCUUGAAAUAUAAUCAGCAUUGAAUAAAAA